Molecule: non-coding RNA, 1854 nt
Organism: Misgurnus anguillicaudatus (oriental weatherfish)
Lineage: Eukaryota; Metazoa; Chordata; Actinopteri; Cypriniformes; Cobitidae
Source: RefSeq, a predicted model, not a curated record
AUCAACUGUUCUCCUGUGUCCCUAUAACUCAAUAACAACCAAUCAUUUUAUCAACUUUUUAGCAUUAAUCAACCAAAUUAACUUUCCGCAUGUUGGAAUAGUAGUUCAUCCAUUCUAAACCUGUAUAAUAUUUUCCCUUAUAAUUAAAUACGUAAAUGCAAGUAUCUACUUCUUAUGCAAAUCAUAAUUCACAGUAAAAAUGUUUAUCAAAUGGAGAAACACUUGUAAGCAAAGUAUGUAAUUUUUUGGAUCAUCAAUCUUUUCUUGUCAUUAAUUGCUCUUAAAUCGUGACUAGAUACAAUUUAGAUUUAUUUCCUUAAAUCGUAUGUUUGUUACAAUAAUUAGUUAUUUCUUUUUUCUAUUCUCACAGCUUUUUCUUGUUUACCUAUUAUAGUAUCCUAUGGUGUUUUUUCAAUUUAUUUCUUUUAUAUAUUUUAUUUUCCAUUCUGCCAUAGCUGUUCGAUGCCAUUUAUAUUUGCUUUUUAGCUUUGUACCAUCAUUGGAGUUCUAACUUCCUCUGUAGAAUACCAAAUUCAAACCCCCCAAUUUUCAUUAUGCAUUUCUUCCUGUCAGAUUAAUAGGGGUCUGAUUUGAUUUCAGAAAAGGUAGUCACACCUAACAACAUAAGUUCUUGAUCAGCCUUUAAAUUUGUCUAGCUGAUUUUCACCUAAAGAUUGUAUGUGUCCCUACAGUUAUAAGGUCCUACACUGUAAAAAAAAAUCUGUAUAUUAACAGUGAAAUUACUGUCAAUUUUAACAGAAAAUGUCCAUACUACAUGUGUUACGGGAGUUUUUCCGUUUAUAUACAUUUUCGAAUUGCAUUAUGGGACUGUGAUUGCGGCUUUUGGUGACCGCGGACGUACCACUCAACAUUUGGUGGCCAUGGACGUAUAACUCAACAUUUUAACAAUUGUUUUCACUGGUAAGUACUUUUAUUUAAACUAAAUGAUUGUAUUAUCCGUUGUUUUAAACGAUACAUUGUUUGAAUUUACCGUGUAAAAUACAACAGUGAAUUUCGUUUAAUAUUGGUAACAAGAACCAAUGUUUUUUUAUGUACAAACUGCACUAUAAGUGAUUAUUUGUAAUACAAAUAAGCCAUUCUGUGCUAUUUACUUGUUUAUGCCAUCUCCUCAUGCUCUCUGUUAAUUUACAGUUUAUUUGUUAGUAUUUCUGACAUCGGCGGGAAGUAACGUCCACUCCAUCGCUGCACUGUGUGUGUGACAGACAUUGCUGUGAACUUCUGCUCCGCUGUGUGUGUAACAGGAUGCUUUAUCAGAUCUACCAAGCACCCCAUGCAUUCUAGUACUAGAGGAUGGAAGGUACAGCAUAUCGGUAGAUGAAAUUACAGUAAACCACAACAUCAGCUGUCCUUUGAUUGCGGUCAGCUACAUGUUUAGCCUCUUUUAUUUGCUAAACAUUAUGUACCCCAAGGGAGCAGCACUUACUCUGGAGUUUAUCCAAAGGAGCCUGCUCGGUAUAAAUCCUGAACGUGGGUCCAAAGCGGAGAAAAAGGGAUCCAAACAGUACAGCAUUCCACCUAAACUCCUUAAAUUUCUUCCAGAAUCCUUGGAAGAUUUAAAGCCAGAAGUAUCGGAGGAAGAAGAUGAAAUGUGGAUUUAACAUCAGAAUUAUCGUUAUACAUGUUCAGUAUUCAUGUUGUUGUGUUGGGUUAUUGCAAAGAAGGUUUUUGCUCCAAGUCUAAUGAAAUCUCUUUCAAAUUUUUGUCCAGUUUUGUCUGUCAUGCUUGAACCAUCACUGUUUGUUUUUUAUAUUUAGGCCACCCUUGUUGUUGUAUACUUUUUAUUUGGAGGCCUUUUUAGUUUAGGACUGGAAUUCUAUGGCAUCUUAAUGUGGC